GGUCAGGAUGAACGCUAGCUACAGGCUUAACACAUGCAAGUCGAGGGGCAGCAUUGGAGUAGCAAUACUCAGAUGGCGACCGGCGCACGGGUGAGUAACACGUAUCCAACCUGCCGCUUACUCGGGGAUAGCCUUUCGAAAGAAAGAUUAAUACCCGAUGGUAUAAAGAGUUCGCAUGUUCUCUUUAUUAAAGAAUUUCGGUAAGCGAUGGGGAUGCGUUCCAUUAGAUAGUUGGCGGGGUAACGGCCCACCAAGUCUACGAUGGAUAGGGGUUCUGAGAGGAAGGUCCCCCACAUUGGAACUGAGACACGGUCCAAACUCCUACGGGAGGCAGCAGUGAGGAAUAUUGGUCAAUGGACGAGAGUCUGAACCAGCCAAAAGUAGCGUGAAGGAUGACUGCCCUAUGGGUUGUAAACUUCUUUUAUAAGGGAAUAAAGUGAGGGACGUGUCCCUUUUUGUAUGUACCUUAUGAAUAAGGAUCGGCUAACUCCGUGCCAGCCGCCGC
This 505-nucleotide ribosomal RNA is filed under the name uncultured bacterium. RNAcentral's name for it is "bacterial SSU rRNA". It matches the Rfam family "Bacterial small subunit ribosomal RNA", at positions 22 to 518 of the family's 1533-position model. The record is from RNAcentral.